GGAUGUGAGCCCAUCUGGCUGUGGCGUGUCUCCCCAUUGCUCGCUAGGGUUGAUUUGGCUGAUGUGGCUGGCUAGGCGGGGGUCCCUUUCCUCCCUCAUUGCUCCAUGUGCAUCCCUCCCAAAGCUGUGUGCUCAGUCAAAGACUUCAACCAUCCCCAACAGAGGAGGACCAGUUUUCAGCCAAGAGCACACAAAUAGCUGGGCUCUUCUGCUCGAACCUCCAAACAAGCUCUCAAUCCCCGGAAUCUGACCUUAUAUGAAGAGACGGUCUUUACAGAGGUAAUCAAUUUUAAAUGAGGUUAUGAGGGUUAGCCCUAAU
Molecule: small nuclear RNA, 319 nt
Filed under: Cebus imitator (Panamanian white-faced capuchin)
Lineage: Eukaryota; Metazoa; Chordata; Mammalia; Primates; Cebidae
Description: 7SK RNA (ENSCCAG00000000067.1)
Rfam family: 7SK RNA
About the family: 7SK was discovered as an abundant small nuclear RNA in the mid-70s but a possible function has only recently been suggested. Two independent studies have found that 7SK RNA binds the CDK9/cyclin T complex (known as elongation factor P-TEFb).
Source: Rfam by way of RNAcentral